ACUUGGAUAUGGAUUCUUCACGGUAACGUAACUGAAUGUGGAGACGUCGGCAUGAGCCCUGGGAGGAGUUAUCUNUUCUUCUUAACAGCUUAUCACCCUGGAAUUGGUUUAUCCGGAGNUAGGGUNUUAUGGCUGGAAGAGCGCAAUAUCUUUGUUGCGUCCGGUGCGCUUAUGACGAUCCUUGAAAAUCCACAGGAAGGAAUAGUUUUCAUGCCAAGUNGUACU
Molecule: ribosomal RNA, 225 nt
Filed under: Wenyingozyma methanosorbosa
Lineage: Eukaryota; Fungi; Ascomycota; Pichiomycetes; Pichiales; Pichiaceae
Description: [Candida] methanosorbosa partial 26S rRNA
Rfam family: Eukaryotic large subunit ribosomal RNA
Source: RNAcentral